GUCCCCAUCGUCUAGAGGCCCAGGACACUGCCCUCUCACGGCAGCAACGCGGGUUCGAAUCCCGCUGGGGACGCCA
RNAcentral lists this transfer RNA (76 nucleotides) under Caedimonas sp. Its description in RNAcentral is "tRNA-Glu". It matches the Rfam family "tRNA". Rfam says of the family: Transfer RNA (tRNA) molecules are approximately 80 nucleotides in length. Their secondary structure includes four short double-helical elements and three loops (D, anti-codon, and T loops). The record is from RNAcentral. Lineage: Bacteria; Pseudomonadati; Pseudomonadota; Alphaproteobacteria; Holosporales; Caedimonadaceae.